RNAcentral lists this long non-coding RNA (516 nucleotides) under Ananas comosus (pineapple). RNAcentral's name for it is "long non-coding RNA (ACOM_LNC015989)". Lineage: Eukaryota; Viridiplantae; Streptophyta; Magnoliopsida; Poales; Bromeliaceae. The record is from RNAcentral.
UACUUAAAUUAAAGGGAAAACUUCAAAAAACCCCCCUGUGGUUUCGUGCAUUCUCACUUUGCUACCCUGUGGUUUAAAACGUAUCAAUUUACCCCCCUGUGGUUUCAUUUUUAUUUUUUCGGAAGCUUUUUCGUUAAUAUUUCGUUAAAUUAUAUACAAAAAACUUCAGAUAACCAUCUAUAUUUAUCGAAUAGUCACUUUAGUAUCCCUUAAUUUUAACUUUGUCACUGAUUUUAAAAAAUAAUAAUAAUAAAAUUGAUAACAAAAAGAUAAAAACAAAACCACAGGGGGGCAAAUUGAUACGUUUUAAACCACAGGGUAGCAAAGUGAGAAUGCACGAAACCACAGGGGGGGUUUUUGAAGUUUUUCCUAAAUUAAAUGACUAAUUUAUCUCGGAGUUAAAAGUUGUUAAAUCAGUGAAGUCAUUGUUAUUCAAUCAAAGUGUAAGAGGCUAUGAUAGACUUAUUACGAAGCCCGACCAAUCAAGUUAAUUUAGAUAGAAAAAAUUGGGAAUUU